RNAcentral lists this ribosomal RNA (761 nucleotides) under Candida albicans. Its description in RNAcentral is "eukaryotic LSU rRNA". It matches the Rfam family "Eukaryotic large subunit ribosomal RNA", at positions 114 to 892 of the family's 3401-position model. Lineage: Eukaryota; Fungi; Ascomycota; Pichiomycetes; Serinales; Debaryomycetaceae. The record is from RNAcentral.
UUUGAAAUCUGGCGUCUUUGGCGUCCGAGUUGUAAUUUGAAGAAGGUAUCUUUGGGCCCGGCUCUUGUCUAUGUUCCUUGGAACAGGACGUCACAGAGGGUGAGAAUCCCGUGCGAUGAGAUGACCCGGGUCUGUGUAAAGUUCCUUCGACGAGUCGAGUUGUUUGGGAAUGCAGCUCUAAGUGGGUGGUAAAUUCCAUCUAAAGCUAAAUAUUGGCGAGAGACCUGAUAGCGAACAAGUACAGUGAUGGAAAGAUGAAAAGAACUUUGAAAAGAGAGUGAAAAAGUACGUGAAAUUGUUGAAAGGGAAGGGCUUGAGAUCAGACUUGGUAUUUUGCAUGCUGCUCUCUCGGGGGCGGCCGCUGCGGUUUACCGGGCCAGCAUCGGUUUGGAGCGGCAGGAUAAUGGCGGAGGAAUGUGGCACGGCUUCUGCUGUGUGUUAUAGCCUCUGACGAUACUGCCAGCCUAGACCGAGGACUGCGGUUUUUACCUAGGAUGUUGGCAUAAUGAUCUUAAGUCGCCCGUCUUGAAACACGGACCAAGGAGUCUAACGUCUAUGCGAGUGUUUGGGUGUAAAACCCGUACGCGUAAUGAAAGUGAACGAAGGUGGGGGCCCAUUAGGGUGCACCAUCGACCGAUCCUGAUGUGUUCGGAUGGAUUUGAGUAAGAGCAUAGCUGUUGGGACCCGAAAGAUGGUGAACUAUGCCUGAAUAGGGUGAAGCCAGAGGAAACUCUGGUGGAGGCUCGUAGCGGUUCUGACGU